This 375-nucleotide ribosomal RNA is filed under the name uncultured organism. Its description in RNAcentral is "partial 16S ribosomal RNA". It matches the Rfam family "Bacterial small subunit ribosomal RNA", at positions 527 to 896 of the family's 1533-position model. The record is from RNAcentral.
GUAGGUGGCAAGCGUUGUCCGGAAUUAUUGGGCGUAAAGCGCGCGCAGGUGGGUUCUUUAAGUCUGAUGUGAAAGCCCCCGGGCUCAACCGGGGAGGGUCAUUGGAAACUGGGGAACUUGAGUGCAGGAGAGGAAAGUGGAAUUCCACGUGUAGCGGUGAAAUGCGUAGAUAUGUGGAGGAACACCAGUGGCGAAGGCGACUUUCUGGCCUGUAACUGACACUGAGGCGCGAAAGCGUGGGGAGCAAACAGGAUUAGAUACCCUGGUAGUCCACGCCGUAAACGAUGAGUGCUAAGUGUUGGGGGGGUUUCCGCCCCUCAGUGCUGCAGCUAACGCAUUAAGCACUCCGCCUGGGGAGUACGGUCGCAAAGACUG